This 429-nucleotide ribosomal RNA is filed under the name Bacillota bacterium. RNAcentral describes it as "Firmicutes bacterium partial 16S ribosomal RNA". It matches the Rfam family "Bacterial small subunit ribosomal RNA", at positions 355 to 776 of the family's 1533-position model. The record is from RNAcentral. Lineage: Bacteria; Bacillati; Bacillota.
UAGGGAAUCUUCGGCAAUGGACGGAAGUCUGACCGAGCAACGCCGCGUGAGUGAAGAAGGUUUUCGGAUCGUAAAGCUCUGUUGUUAGAGAAGAACGUUGGUAGGAGUGGAAAAUCUACCAAGCGACGGUAACUAACCAGAAAGGGACGGCUAACUACGUGCCAGCAGCCGCGGUAAUACGUAGGUCCCGAGCGUUGUCCGGAUUUAUUGGGCGUAAAGCGAGCGAAGGCGGUCCUUUAAGUCUGAAGUUAAAGGCAGUGGCUUAACCAUUGUACGCUUUGGAAACUGGAGGACGUGAGUGCAGAAGGGGAGAGGGGAAUUCCAUCUGUAGCGGUGAAAUGCGUAGAUAUAUGGAGGAACACCGGUGGCGAAAGCGGCUCUCUGGUCUGUAUCUGACGCUGCGGCUCGAAAGCGUGGGGAUCAAACAGG